AUUAAGCAACAAAGCCGGUACAGAGGUAAGAUGUUCUAUCUUUCAGACCUUUUGUUUCACGUUAUUGGAUUAGGCUGAUUCAGCCGCCCCAGUCGAUUAUUGACUGGGGCGUUUUUUA
Molecule: non-coding RNA, 118 nt
Organism: Vibrio metschnikovii CIP 69.14
Lineage: Bacteria; Pseudomonadati; Pseudomonadota; Gammaproteobacteria; Vibrionales; Vibrionaceae
Source: Rfam